Long non-coding RNA from Solea solea (common sole), 171 nucleotides. RefSeq lists it as uncharacterized. Lineage: Eukaryota; Metazoa; Chordata; Actinopteri; Pleuronectiformes; Soleidae. The record is from RefSeq and is a predicted model, not a curated record. The transcript has 4 exons.
GAAGAGCCCGAGUCAUCUGUGUGAAAAAAUGGAGCCAUCUGAAGCAGAUGCAAUGAUCAAAAAGACACCACCUGUUGAAGAGGACCAUGGUGAGGAUAACAGAAAUGUCUCACUGCCCUCCUGUGCCUCCUCAAAUGCACUGAUCCAAAAGACACCACCUGUUGAAUAGGA